UGGGUAACCUGCCCAUAAGACUGGGAUAACUCCGGGAAACCGGGGCUAAUACCGGAUAACAUUUUGAACCGCAUGGUUCGAAAUUGAAAGGCGGCUUCGGCUGUCACUUAUGGAUGGACCCGCGUCGCAUUAGCUAGUUGGUGAGGUAACGGCUCACCAAGGCAACGAUGCGUAGCCGACCUGAGAGGGUGAUCGGCCACACUGGGACUGAGACACGGCCCAGACUCCUACGGGAGGCAGCAGUAGGGAAUCUUCCGCAAUGGACGAAAGUCUGACGGAGCAACGCCGCGUGAGUGAUGAAGGCUUUCGGGUCGUAAAACUCUGUUGUUAGGGAAGAACAAGUGCUAGUUGAAUAAGCUGGCACCUUGACGGUACCUAAC
Molecule: ribosomal RNA, 380 nt
Filed under: Bacillus cereus
Lineage: Bacteria; Bacillati; Bacillota; Bacilli; Caryophanales; Bacillaceae
Description: bacterial SSU rRNA
Rfam family: Bacterial small subunit ribosomal RNA
Source: RNAcentral